RNAcentral lists this ribosomal RNA (266 nucleotides) under uncultured bacterium. Its description in RNAcentral is "partial 16S ribosomal RNA". It matches the Rfam family "Bacterial small subunit ribosomal RNA", at positions 524 to 776 of the family's 1533-position model. The record is from RNAcentral.
UACGAAGGGGGCUAGCGUUGCUUCGGGUAAGUUGACUGGGCGUAAAGGGCGGCGUUAAGGCGGUUCGCACAGUUCAGAUCGUGAAAUUCCUGGGCUCGACCUGGGGCUGCGUUUGAUACGUGCGGUACUUGAGUGCGGAAGAGGGUCGUGGAAUUCCCAGAUGUAGAGGUGAAAUUCGUAGAUAUCAGGAGGAACACCAAUGGGCGAAGGCAGCUCGCUGGGACGUGACUGACGCUGGAGACGCGAAAGCGUGGGGAGCAAACAGG